This 763-nucleotide ribosomal RNA is filed under the name uncultured bacterium. Its description in RNAcentral is "bacterial SSU rRNA". It matches the Rfam family "Bacterial small subunit ribosomal RNA", at positions 28 to 792 of the family's 1533-position model. The record is from RNAcentral.
AUUGAACGCUGGCGGCAUGCCUAACACAUGCAAGUCGAACGGGCUGUAGCAAUACAGCUAGUGGCGGACGGGUGAGGAAUACAUAGGAAUUUGCCUUUAGGUGGGGGAUAGUCCGGGGAAACUCGGUUUAAUACCGCAUGAUGUCGCAAGACCAAAGCAGGGGAUCGCAAGACCUUGCGCCUUUAGAGAAGCCUAUGUCUGAUUAGCUAGUUGGUAGGGUAAUGGCCUACCAAGGCGACGAUCAGUAACUGGUCUGAGAGGACGAUCAGUCACACCGGAACUGAGACACGGUCCGGACUCCUACGGGAGGCAGCAGUGGGGAAUAUCGGACAAUGGGCGAAAGCCUGAUCCAGCAAUGCCGCGUGUGUGAAGAAGGCCUCGGGUUGUAAAGCACUUUGAUCUGGGAAGAAAAAUGCUUCAGCUAAUAUCUGAAGCCUUGACGGUACCAGAGGAACAAGCACCGGCUAACUCUGUGCCAGCAGCCGCGGUAAUACAGAGGGUGCGAGCGUUAAUCGGAUUUACUGGGCGUAAAGCGUGUGUAGGCAGUUCGUUAAGUCGGAUGUGAAAGCCCUGGGCUCAACCUGGGAAUUGCAUUCGAUACUGGCGAGCUAGAGUACGGUAGAGGGCGGCGGAAUUCCGGGUGUAGCGGUGAAAUGCGUAGAUAUCCGGGAGGAACACCGAUGGCGAAGGCAACCGCCUGGGGCCUGUACUGACGCUGAGACACGAAAGCGUGGGGGAGCAAACAGGAUUAGAUACCCUGGUA